GGAUUGUGGCUCAGCGGUAGAGUGCUUGCCUAGCAUGUGCGAGGCCCUGGGUUCUAUCCUCAGCACCG
This 68-nucleotide transfer RNA is filed under the name Marmota monax (woodchuck). RNAcentral's name for it is "tRNA.Ala". Lineage: Eukaryota; Metazoa; Chordata; Mammalia; Rodentia; Sciuridae. The record is from RNAcentral.